AUGCUCACUUCAGCAGCACAUAUACUAAAAUUGGAACAAUACAGAGGAGAUUAGCAUGGCCCCCAUGAAAGGAUGACAAAGAAAAAAAGGAGGGAAAUCAAAACUGA
Small nuclear RNA from Sorex araneus (European shrew), 107 nucleotides. NCBI's taxonomy places the organism in Eukaryota, Metazoa, Chordata, Mammalia, Eulipotyphla, Soricidae. The record is from Ensembl.